RNAcentral lists this ribosomal RNA (442 nucleotides) under uncultured bacterium. RNAcentral's name for it is "partial 16S ribosomal RNA". It matches the Rfam family "Bacterial small subunit ribosomal RNA", at positions 338 to 795 of the family's 1533-position model. The record is from RNAcentral.
CCUACGGGAGGCAGCAGUGGGGACUAUUGGGCAAUGGGCGCAAGCCUGACCCAGCAACGCCGCGUGAAGGAAGAAGGCUUUCGGGUUGUAAACUUCUUUUGUCAGGGAAGAGUAGAAGACGGUACCUGACGAAUAAGCCACGGCUAACUACGUGCCAGCAGCCGCGGUAAUACGUAGGUGGCAAGCGUUGUCCGGAUUUACUGGGUGUAAAGGGCGUGUAGCCGGGUUGACAAGUCAGAUGUGAAUUCCUGCGGCUUAACCGCAGAACUGCAUUUGAAACUGUUGAUCUUGAGUACUGGAGAGGCAGACGGAAUUCCUAGUGUAGCGGUGAAAUGCGUAGAUAUUAGGAGGAACACCAGUGGCGAAGGCGGUCUGCUGGACAGUAACUGACGGUGAGGCGCGAAAGCGUGGGGAGCAAACAGGAUUAGAUACCCGGGUAGUC